UGCCAGUAAGGAAGUUUCAGACAUGAAAGUGUUAACAGCUGCUUUGAAAUUACUCCUAUUUAAGAAGAAAAAUUAUAUUACUUUCUUAAUCUUUCUAAUUCUAUUCUCAUAAGAUGAUCUUGGAUUUGUUCCUUUAGCACAGACUCUUUAGUGCAGUCCUGAUUUCUGUAUUAAUGAAUUGAGAAGAUGACAUCAGGCUCUUAGGCAUUUCUCCCUGACGUCAGUAUUUACUGGGCACGAGCCUGUGCUCUCUGUAUUGGUGGUCCCCAGGUGCUCUUCAGCACAUGAAUUGAUGAGGGAAGGAUCUGUCCUUGGCUAACCUCUGUGAACACUGCAGAGGGGUUAACUCCAGAUUUACACCGUGCAACUGACAGUUUAAGUGGUCUCAGUUGGAGGCUUUCAACAGAAAUUCUGGUCAAAGAAAUACGAAGAAGGAUGGGCAGAGAAGUCUUCAACUUUCAGAAGGGACACUCCAUCACAGGUCUUUUUUUGAGAGAACAUCAUGGACUUUUCACAGGAGCUGAGAAGGGCCACAGGGGCAGGCCGAGAAGUUCCUUAUGAAGUGUGCAACACACCGGUUGGGAAAAUUGCUGUCCCUGAACAGACUUUUUCUGGAAAAGAAACAAGAGACUACCUGGAUGGACUAAACAACAGAAAGAAUCUGGAAGAAGGCUCUUUGUAAUAGGAGUCUUCUUGUCAUGGAUCAUCCUGAGACAGGUCUCCAGACCACACACAUUCUCCGCAGCAACUUGAGAG
Long non-coding RNA from Zonotrichia albicollis (white-throated sparrow), 756 nucleotides. The record is from Ensembl. Lineage: Eukaryota; Metazoa; Chordata; Aves; Passeriformes; Passerellidae.